Non-coding RNA from Firmicutes bacterium CAG:124, 349 nucleotides. It matches the Rfam family "transfer-messenger RNA". Rfam says of the family: Bacterial tmRNA, also known as 10Sa RNA or SsrA, is named for its dual tRNA and mRNA-like properties. Its role is to liberate the mRNA from a stalled ribosome. NCBI's taxonomy places the organism in Bacteria, Bacillati, Bacillota. The record is from Rfam.
GGGGCUGCACUGGUUUCGACGGGGGCAGUGAGGCUGGAUAAGCGGGCGGAGGCGCCUGGCCUCCAUAAAACGGGCAAUUUUUCCAAAUUAACUGACAACACUUACGUUGCUCAGGCUGCCUAAUUAGGCAGCCCGUCCUCCCCGGAAGGGCCACGAGCCGGGCUUGGGCGUGAUCUAGUGGCGUCCGUGAACGCAGUAAGCUUUGCCUGCGUCAUGCAUCAUGAAGCUACCAAGGCGCGUAGAGUGUCUGCUCCCGCCGCGCCGAGGGAAUGUAAAUAACAGACUGCGCCCGGAGAAAGUCCAGUCAAGUUGCUUUCGGACAGGGGUUCGAUUCCCCUCAGCUCCACCA